AUUGAACGCUGGCGGCAUGCCUUACACAUGCAAGUCGAACGGUAACAGGUCUUCGGAUGCUGACGAGUGGCGAACGGGUGCGUAAUACAUCGGAACGUGCCCAGACGUGGGGGAUAACGAGGCGAAAGCUUUGCUAAUACCGCAUACGAUCUAAGGAUGAAAGCAGGGGACCGCAAGGCCUUGUGCGUUUGGAGCGGCCGAUGGCAGAUUAGGUAGUUGGUGGGAUAAAAGCUUACCAAGCCGACGAUCUGUAGCUGGUCUGAGAGGACGACCAGCCACACUGGGACUGAGACACGGCCCAGACUCCUACGGGAGGCAGCAGUGGGGAAUUUUGGACAAUGGGCGAAAGCCUGAUCCAGCAAUGCCGCGUGCAGGAUGAAGGCCUUCGGGUUGUAAACUGCUUUUGUACGGAACGAAAAGGCUCUGGCUAAUACCUGGGGCACAUGACGGUACCGUAAGAAUAAGCACCGGCUAACUACGUG
Molecule: ribosomal RNA, 482 nt
Filed under: uncultured bacterium
Lineage: Bacteria
Description: partial 16S ribosomal RNA
Rfam family: Bacterial small subunit ribosomal RNA
Source: RNAcentral